RNAcentral lists this non-coding RNA (28 nucleotides) under Mus musculus (house mouse). Lineage: Eukaryota; Metazoa; Chordata; Mammalia; Rodentia; Muridae. The record is from RNAcentral.
UGAUAUACCAGACCGAAGGUGGAUUUGC